Molecule: RNA transcript, 756 nt
Organism: Syngnathoides biaculeatus (alligator pipefish)
Lineage: Eukaryota; Metazoa; Chordata; Actinopteri; Syngnathiformes; Syngnathidae
Gene name: FKBP-type peptidyl-prolyl cis-trans isomerase SlyD-like
Exons: 5
Source: RefSeq, a predicted model, not a curated record
AACCGGGAUGUGCCUGCAGGUGCCGUAUAUAGAGGAUCUGGGAUCAGCACCACAUAUUUUCCUCCAAAACUUCGCAUUCAGCACAGUCGGUGUGUCUGCAGGUAAAUAGAGGAGCAGGAAUCGCCACCGAGUAGAUUCCUUCUAUACCUUGCAUCGAGCGCAAACGACAUCAAUGCACCACAACAAGCACGGUGGGCACUGCGGUCGUGGACGUGGUAAGCAUGGUCACGGCCACGCGCACGGGCACGGAUGCGGAAAGGAACCAGGAUGUAAAAAAUGUCGCCGGCGCAGACACAAGUUAGGACACAAGCAUCGCAAGUGUCACAAAAAAGGGAAGGACUGCCAUGGGUCUUCCAGCAGCUCCUGCAGCAGCAGCAGCAGCAGCAGCAGCAGCGACUGCGACUAAAAGAGGAAGAGUCUCGCAAAAAUCCAGUUUGCACAAUGAGCACGCCCAACGUGACCCCCAAAUUAUCAAAUAACAUUCCUGUUGUGUACUGUGUUGAUCCAUUUGACUCGUUUUCCAGUAUGAAACAUCUGACCAGCUUCGCCAUCAGCAUAACAAUACAUGUUGGCACGAGAGAAACAAUGUUUAUUGGGAUUUUUUUUUUUCAAUUUUCAAUUUCUGACACUUUUGGAUCAUUGUAACACAUUGUUGUUGCUCCUUCUGAGAAACAAUAUACCGGGGAGAGUUGAACAGGUUGUUCAGUUGUGCAUUUAUUGGUGAGCUGAUGCAAUAAAAUUGAUGUUAAAAUGAAA